GGGGAAUAUUGGACAAUGGGCGCAAGCCUGAUCCAGCCAUGCCGCGUGGGUGAUGAAGGCCCUAGGGUUGUAAAGCCCUUUCGGCGGGGAAGCUAAUGACGGUACCCGCAGAAGAAGCCCCGGCUAACUUCGUGCCAGCAGCCGCGGUAAUACGAAGGGGGCUAGCGUUGCUCGGAAUCACUGGGCGUAAAGCGCACGUAGGCGGAUCGUUAAGUCGGGGGUGAAAUCCUGGAGCUCAACUCCAGAACUGCCUCCGAUACUGGCGAUCUUGGAGUCCGGGAGAGGUGAGUGGAACUCCGAGUGUAGAGGUGAAAUUCGUAGAUAUUCGGAAGAACACCAGUGGCGAAGGCGGCUCACUGGCCCGGUACUGACGCUGAGGUGCGAAAGCGUGGGGAGCAAAC
This 401-nucleotide ribosomal RNA is filed under the name uncultured bacterium. RNAcentral's name for it is "bacterial SSU rRNA". It matches the Rfam family "Bacterial small subunit ribosomal RNA", at positions 356 to 773 of the family's 1533-position model. The record is from RNAcentral.